UUGGCGGCGAGCUUACCAUGCAAGUCGAACGAUGAACCGGUUUCGGCCGGGGAUUAGUGGCGAACGGGUGAGUAACACGUGGGCAAUCUGCCCUGCACUCUGGGAUAAGCCCGGGAAACUGGGUCUAAUACCGGAUACGACACAUGAGCGCAUGCUCGUGUGUGGAAAGUUCCGGCGGUGCAGGAUGAGCCCGCGGCCUAUCAGUUUGUUGGUGGGGUAGUGGCCUACCAAGACGACGACGGGUAGCCGGCCUGAGAGGGUGACCGGCCACACUGGGACUGAGACACGGCCCAGACUCCUACGGGAGGCAGCAGUGGGGAAUAUUGCACAAUGGGCGAAAGCCUGAUGCAGCGACGCCGCGUGAGGGAUGACGGCCUUCGGGUUGUAAACCUCUUUCAGCAGGGAAGAAGCGAAAGUGACGGUACCUGCAGAAGAAGCACCGGCUAACUACGUGCCAGCAGCCGCGGUAAUACGUAGGGUGCAAGCGUUGUCCGGAAUUAUUGGGCGUAAAGAGCUCGUAGGCGGCCUGUCGCGUCGAUUGUGAAAGCCCAGGGCUUAACCCUGGGUCUGCAGUCGAUACGGGCAGGCUAGAGUUCGGUAGGGGAGAUCGGAAUUCCUGGUGUAGCGGUGAAAUGCGCAGAUAUCAGGAGGAACACCGGUGGCGAAGGCGGAUCUCUGGGCCGAUACUGACGCUGAGACGAAGACUGGGGGGGAAAAAAAAAAAAAAAGAA
RNAcentral lists this ribosomal RNA (731 nucleotides) under Streptomyces xiamenensis. RNAcentral's name for it is "bacterial SSU rRNA". It matches the Rfam family "Bacterial small subunit ribosomal RNA", at positions 36 to 783 of the family's 1533-position model. The record is from RNAcentral. Lineage: Bacteria; Bacillati; Actinomycetota; Actinomycetes; Kitasatosporales; Streptomycetaceae.